GACGAACGCUGGCGGCGUGCUUAACACAUGCAAGUCGAACGAAGAGCGAUGGAAGCUUGCUUCUAUCAAUCUUAGUGGCGAACGGGUGAGUGACGCGUAAUCAACCUGCCCUUCAGAGGGGGACAACAGUUGGAAACGACUGCUAAUACCGCAUACGAUCUAAUCUCGGCAUCGAGGAUAGAUGAAAGGUGGCCUCUACAUGUAAGCUAUCACUGAAGGAGGGGAUUGCGUCUGAUUAGCUAGUUGGUGGGGUAACGGCCCACCAAGGCGAUGAUCAGUAGCCGGUCUGAGAGGAUGGACGGCCACAUUGGGACUGGGACACGGCCCAGACUCCUACGGGAGGCAGCAGUGGGGAAUCUUCCGCAAUGGACGAAAGUCUGACGGAGCAACGCCGCGUGAGUGAUGACGGCCUUCGGGUUGUAAAGCUCUGUUAAUCGGGACGAAAGGCCUUCUUGCGAAUAGUGAGAAGGAUUGACGGUACCGGAAUAGAAAGCCACGGCUAACUACGUG
This 510-nucleotide ribosomal RNA is filed under the name uncultured bacterium. RNAcentral describes it as "partial 16S ribosomal RNA". It matches the Rfam family "Bacterial small subunit ribosomal RNA", at positions 28 to 507 of the family's 1533-position model. The record is from RNAcentral.